Cricetulus griseus (Chinese hamster) is the source of this 696-nucleotide non-coding RNA. The record is from RefSeq and is a predicted model, not a curated record. NCBI's taxonomy places the organism in Eukaryota, Metazoa, Chordata, Mammalia, Rodentia, Cricetidae.
UGGCUUCCCCAGCACUGAGCUUGGGCACGCCUCUUCCACCCCAUCUUACCGCUCCAGGACCUGGUGCUCCUCCCCUGCUGCUGUCAGCCCUGCUGGCUAAGGUUGCUGUGACAAAUGCUUGGCUGAGUCAGUUUCCCAGGAUGCCAAGCGAGCGUGCAUUCCAAGGGAUGCCAGCGCAGUGCCAGGGCCUCUGGGGUCAGAAGGCAGAGCGGGGCCAACUCAGGAGCUGCCUGUAACCCUCUCUGUGUCUUUGAUGUCCCUUGGAAAGAGCUGCCACUCCUGCUUUUCCUAAGCUGGCCACACAGAAGGCUGUCAGGGGACGUUUGUCAAGGAUGAUCUUUAAUUGCAAAUAAAAUGAUAUGAAAAAAAGAACCAUCUGAAGGCCAGUCCUGUGGAGGUCAACCUGCCUGCACCUGCUGUCACAGGGGAAGGGUGGAGAGAUGGCAAUCUAGUCUCCUCAGUGGCAGUCCCCAGCCCCCACCCCCACACUUCCUCAGCCUCCCACAGGUUCCCAGGCCAUCACAACCCAGCCAGCAGCUACAACCUUAGCAGCAGAGGCCCCGGAGCAUGGGAGACAAGUCCCUGGGCAGGAGGGUGUGUUCAGAGAAGGGAGGGCAGAGCUGCAGAACUCCCCAGACUCCGCUGAUGAAGCACGGAGGGAAGAUUGUGGUCUAUGAGGCGAUUUGGCAGAGGGCA